RNAcentral lists this ribosomal RNA (497 nucleotides) under uncultured bacterium. RNAcentral describes it as "partial 16S ribosomal RNA". It matches the Rfam family "Bacterial small subunit ribosomal RNA", at positions 28 to 507 of the family's 1533-position model. The record is from RNAcentral.
GAUGAACGCUGGCGGCGUGCCUAAUACAUGCAAGUCGAGCGAACAGAUGAGGAGCUUGCUCCUCUGACGUUAGCGGCGGACGGGUGAGUAACACGUGGAUAACCUACCUAUAAGUCUGGGAUAACUUCGGGAAACCGGAGCUAAUACCGGAUAAUAUAUUGAACCGCAUGGUUCAAUAGUGAAAGACGGCUUUGCUGUCACUUCUAGAUGGAUCCGCGCCGCAUUAGAUGGUUGGUAAGGUAACGGCUUAUCAAGGCAACGAUGCGUAGCCGACCUGAGGGGGGGAUCGGCCACCCUGGAGCGGGGACGCGGUCCAGACUCCUGCGGGAGGGAGCAGUAGGGAAUCGUCCGCAGUGGGCGGAAGCCUGACGGAGCAACGCCGCGUGAGUGAUGAAGAUCUUCGGAUCGUAAAACUCUGUUAUUAGGGAAGAACAAAUGUGUAAGUAACUAUGCACGUCUUGACGGUACCUAAUCAGAAAGCCACGGCUAACUACGUG